RNAcentral lists this ribosomal RNA (273 nucleotides) under uncultured microorganism. Its description in RNAcentral is "partial 16S ribosomal RNA". It matches the Rfam family "Bacterial small subunit ribosomal RNA", at positions 346 to 608 of the family's 1533-position model. The record is from RNAcentral.
GCGCAGCAGGCGAGAAUAGUCUACAAAUGGACGAAAGUCUGAUAGUGCGACGCCGUGUGUGCGAUUAAUUCCUUCGGGAUGUAAAGCACUUUUCUAUGAGAUAAAGCUCUUUAGGUUAAUAGCUUAUUGAGACGGAUAUUAUUAUAGGAAUAAGCUCCGGCUAACUCCGUGCCAGCAGCCGCGGUAAUACGGAAGGAGCGAGCGUUGUCCGGAUUUACGUAGGCGUAAAGGGCUAGUAGGCGACUAAUUAAGUUAUAUGUUAAAUCCCAACGG